CAGUCGCCGCGGUAAUACAGAGGGUGCGAGCGUUAAUCGGAUUUACUGGGCGUAAGCGUGCGUAGGCGGCUUCUUAAGUCGGAUGUGAAAUCCCUGAGCUUAACUUAGGAAUUGCAUUCGAUACUGGGAAGCUAGAGUAUGGGAGAGGAUGGUAGAAUUUCAGGUGUAGCGGUGAAAUGCGUAGAGAUCUGGAGGAAUACCGAUGGCGAAGGCAGCCAUCUGGCCUAAUACUGACGCUGAGGUACGAAAGCAUGGGGAGCAAACAGGAUUAGAUACCCCUGUAGUCCCUGUCUCUUAUACA
RNAcentral lists this ribosomal RNA (301 nucleotides) under uncultured bacterium. RNAcentral's name for it is "partial 16S ribosomal RNA". It matches the Rfam family "Bacterial small subunit ribosomal RNA", at positions 509 to 808 of the family's 1533-position model. The record is from RNAcentral.